RNAcentral lists this ribosomal RNA (898 nucleotides) under uncultured bacterium. Its description in RNAcentral is "bacterial SSU rRNA". It matches the Rfam family "Bacterial small subunit ribosomal RNA", at positions 8 to 916 of the family's 1533-position model. The record is from RNAcentral.
AGAGUUUGAUCCUGGCUCAGGAUGAACGCUGGCGGCGUGCUUAACACAUGCAAGUCGAACGGAGUAAUUAAAGUAGCUUGCUACAUUAAUUGCUUAGUGGCGGACGGGUGAGUAACGCGUGGAUAACCUACCUUACACAGGGGGAUAACAACGAGAAAUCGUUGCUAAUACCGCAUAAGUGUGAUUUCCGCAUGGGGAUCAUAUGAAAGCUCCGGCGGUGCAAGAUGGGUCCGCGUCCGAUUAGCUAGUUGGUGAGAUAACAGCCCACCAAGGCAACGAUCAGUAGCCGGCUUGAGAGAGUGGACGGCCACACUGGGACUGAGACACGGCCCAGACCCCUACGGGAGGCAGCAGUGGGGAAUAUUGCACAAUGGGGGAAACCCUGAUGCAGCGACGCCGCGUGAAGGAAGAAGGUCUUCGGAUCGUAAACUUCUAUCAGCAGGGAAGAAGAUAGUGACUGUACCUGACUAAGAAGCCCCGGCUAACUACGUGCCAGCAGCCGCGGUAAUACGUAGGGGGCAAGCGUUAUCCGGAAUCACUGGGUGUAAAGGGUGCGUAGGCGGUAGGGCAAGUCAGAUGUGAAAGCCCGGGGCUCAACUCCGGGAUUGCAUUUGAAACUGUCUUACUAGAGUGCAGGAGAGGAAAGCGGAAUUCCUAGUGUAGCGGUGAAAUGCGUAGAUAUUAGGAAGAACACCAGUGGCGAAGGCGGCUUUCUGGACUGUAACUGACGCUGAGGCACGAAAGCGUGGGGAGCGAACAGGAUUAGAUACCCUGGUAGUCCACGCCGUAAACGAUGAGUGCUAGGUGUCGGGGCCGUGAGUCCCGGUGCUGAAGUCAACGCAUUAAGCACUCCACCUGGGGAGUACGUUCGCAAGAAUGAAACUCAAUGAAUUGACGG